Molecule: ribosomal RNA, 457 nt
Filed under: uncultured bacterium
Lineage: Bacteria
Description: partial 16S ribosomal RNA
Rfam family: Bacterial small subunit ribosomal RNA
Source: RNAcentral
GAUGAACGCUGGCGGCGUGCUUAACACAUGCAAGUCGAACGGGAUCCUAGCUUGCUAGGUGAGAGUGGCGGACGGGUGAGUAACACGUGGGUAUCUGCCUUUUGUUUCGGGAUAACCGCGGGCAACUGCGGCUAAUACCGGACGCUCCCGAGAGGGAAAAGAUUUAUCGCCAGAAGAGGCGCCCGCGUCCGAUUAGGUAGUUGGUAGGGUAAUGGCCUACCAAGCCAACGAUCGGUAGCUGGUCUGAGAGGAUGAUCAGCCACACUGGGACUGAGAUACUGCCCAGACUCCUACGGGAGGCAGCAGUGGGGAAUAUUGGACAAUGGGGGCAACCCUGAUCCAGCAAUGCCGCGUGAGUGAUGAAGGCCUUAGGGUUGUAAAGCUCUUUUGCCAGGGAAGAUGAUGACUGUACCUGGAGAAUAAGCCCCGGCUAACUUCGUGCCAGCCGCCGCAGUAA